Molecule: long non-coding RNA, 433 nt
Organism: Anopheles coustani
Lineage: Eukaryota; Metazoa; Arthropoda; Insecta; Diptera; Culicidae
Exons: 3
Source: RefSeq, a predicted model, not a curated record
GCUGUGGUUACGUUUCCAUUGGUGAUAUCCAGCACUUUCACAAAAGACAUCGCAAAUAACCAACAGAAAAUCUUCCGGAAGACACGUAUUGCAUGAACUGUUACAAAGGAUCAUCUGUCAGAUUUCCUGCUGCCUCCAGUGUCACAAAACUACGAUGAGGUUAUAUGAACCUUAUAAGUUGUGUUAGUUAGUGGAUGUGCGAAUUUGUUUAUUGAAUACACACUUCAUUAUUAAAAUGUGCGAAAGAAAACAGGAGAUCACGCAUGGAGCAUUGAUAUCGCCAGACUAAUCAUCGGCAGAAGUCAGUUGUACGAACAUUUAAACAUGAUAUUUGCGAGGACAUGACAUUUUAUAUAUCUGCAGCUUUUUUUGCUACUGUGUUUGGGUUUAGUUUCGAUGGUAAUCGAAUCUUGCGAGACAUCCCAGAAUGGAG